CUCGCCUCCUUCUCCCCCUCCCGCGCCCGCCUCUCUCUCUCCCUCUCGCGCCCCUCCCUGCCCCGCCGCCGCCGUCGCCGCUCCCCGCACUCGCUCCUCCUCCCCCCGCAUCUCCCUCCCUCCCACGCAACCGCCUCUCUCCCUCGCUCGCUCCUCAUCUGGCGACGGCGGCGGCGGCUCCGGCGCCCGCGUUCUUCCUCCCACCAACCACGGCGCUCCUCCCCAUCGCCAUGGACGAGCUUGAGCUCCAGGUGCUCCUUCCCUGCCCAGAAGCCCAAGGGCGUUGCGGGGCGGCAAGGGGCUCAGCCUCAACCCGCCAACCCUAGCUGCCCCCACGCCGCCGCCGGCUCCUUCUCCCGGCCUGCCGGAUCCCGUCAUCCGCAUCCCUGGCGUCGUCGUCGUCGCCGUCGUCCUCGCGUGCACUCGGCAGGAGAAGCGGAGCACGAGUCGAGGUGUGCCACCCCCGAUUCUGCAGUGCGCCCGACGGCUGCUUCUGCAGCAGCAGCGGUGGCAAGCCUUGGACUGGCUCGGGACACCAGAAGCGGGCAAUGAAGGCCAUUGCCAUGUUGGUAUUGUUCCAGACAUCGAAGAUUUUUGAUAUGUGAAGGCCGAGGCAAAAAUGUCAGUAACUACAAAGAGGGUACCAGCAUCAUCAAAUAAGAACAGUUCACCAGGAAAGAAGGUUUAUAGUUCUUAUAUCAACAAUGAUGUCAAGCCAGACAAUUAAGUUACACAUGGCACAAAGCUGAGCCUGCGCUGCGGCUACUGCCUGAUGACGAUGACAAUCUGAUCGAGUAGAUCAAUCAUGAGUUUUAUCAUACUUUGAGCCAAAUCUUCGCGCCUUUUUUCUUUUAUUUGGUUAUACUGUGUAAUUAGGAAUCAAUAAUAAAAGUAGAUGGUACAAAGUUGUGCUCCCUAGCUUUUUUUCCAUUGGUCUUGCUAAGCAAGUUAAUGUAUAUCUUCAUUUAUAUAGCAUCUCCAGUGUUCCAUUAUGUUCAGCUAUGUAUGUUCACUUGGUCCCUUAGUUACUUCCUGGGCCCUCUUUGCUCGCCUUACUCCCAUCUAAUUUUAGAAUUAACUUUAAUGAUAUUGAUAGGUUAAGGUCAUUCAUCAUGAGAGGUGUUGAUGUGGAGUCCCAUGUGUACCUACUGUUGCCCCAUCAAUUAUGUAGUGGCCUCUUUCUGAACAUUGUUUGGUUCCAACGAAGAUCUAUUAGUAGUGCUGAACCGAUUUUAAAAACAACAACAUUGGUCAGUUUCUUAAUUUCGUGUACUGUUUUCACUUUAGGACCAGAAAACUGAACCUCGACAUAAUGACAUACUCCACCGGCUUAAACUUUCCUCUACACACAGUACCUUCUCAUUCAUCAUGUGCACGUUAAUGCUCUCUUCUUAUAUUAUUCAUGAUUACUUUGCUUGCUACUAGCAUGGUACAUGACAUUACAAUCUUAGCAGAGGCUUGUGCAACAAACCUGGCCUGUGUGUAAUAGACUUUUUAUAUUAUUUUAUUCUCCAAUUUUGCCAGCUAAGGAUUUAAUUAUACUGCAUAUCAUGUUGCACAAGGUAUCUUUACAAAUGGGUUCAGUUCCAACUCGAUAGAUGUAUGAGUAUCAGAUCUUAAAUUGCUUGUCUUGGAAACUGUUUUCUCAUCUACUUUCAGAGAUCAAGCCUGACAAAAUCUACACUGGUUCACCUUAAUUACAUGCUGGGUUCAGCAUAAUGGCUAAGGGGAGACGAGGUGGAAAUUUAGCAUUUUAGUAUAGGACUGAUUUCCUGCAAAAAAAUAGUAUAGGGUUGUGAAGAUAUUCACGAAAAGAAGUACUCCCUCUCAUCCGAAUUAAAUGAUGCAGCCUCUAUACAAUGUCUAUAUGUUCCUCGAUUUUAUUAGAUGCAUAUAUGUGGACAUCUCCUUUUUUGCCAGAUUGCUAUUUGAAGUUUACAACCUUAUAGAUUGCUCUAUAUAUGGCAGUAAAUAGUUUGUAUUUUAGCGCCUUAGUUGUGAAUUUGUUAUAGAAGUAUUCUAACUGAUAUUCUAACGUCAUCAUGUAGAAUGGACAUGAUCUCGCCCAUUGGGAAUUGCAUGCUGCAGUAAAGCAAUUUGGUCAACCAUAUUCAGCGUUCGGCGGAGUCCUUGGUCAUUUCUUUGAGGAGCAGCUCCUUCUCAGGUGAUUUCUUCUACCUUUUCUACUAUUGAUUUAACAGCUAAUGCAUUGUUGCUGGUUUCUGUUCUUACCCGCUAAUCUACACCAUGAGCAUGUCCCACUACUGAUUUGACAAUUCAUGCAUUACUGGUUUUCUUUCUUGCCUGCUACUGUUCACUGUACUCUGGCAUCCAACGCAUCAUCCACUCAUACAUAGAUGGGUUAUGUUUGUACUUGAUAGCAGCAGACUAAAUUGCCAAAAGAUGUGUGGGAUGAGUUCACUUUCAGUUAACAUGUGAUCUCAAAGUUUCAGGUUCGUCAGUCAGUGUUGUAGGUGUUAGAAUUCAGUUUCAUCAGUUAGAAUUUUCUUCAGUUAGUGAAGUAAGCCAACCUGCGAUUUGGUCUUAGGUUGUUAGCGUACCCCGUCGCUUUGAUCGGUUUUUGGGAUGACACGAUUGUCUCAUGAUCCCUUUCGCAUGUCGGUGUUGUGUGUGUGUUUACUUAGUUUCUUGUGAUACAAACUGGUCAUGACAACCACUUUAUAUAUGUAUCUACAACAUUAUACCUGAUCGUGGCAAGAUCCAUCGAUUUGGCAAUUUUCUACAACCAAUUCACAGCCACCGAAUCACACAAAAUUAAAUAUACAUCCAAUAUUCAGUAUCAUAUAUCCAUGGACUACAUCAGAUUGGGGGAAAACCAUGUACAUAGUUGCAACAACCAAAACAAACUAUGCUUGGACGCCAUGAACUACACCCAGGACUCACAGACACAUGGCUAGGAAAUGAGCUUACACAAUCAGGAACAUCACAAUGCCAAGGCAAAGUGCCACCACGGAUCAUACAUGCUCCAAGAGAAGCCAACACAUGAGGUAAAGCGUACAGAUGUACUGCAUCAGCAACAUUUUCUGCUACUCUGCUUCAGGUAGCAACGUUCAGUCAUGCAAGCACCAUUGGACAUUCAGUUAGAAACAGGGCAUUGCAACAUUCAGUGUGCAAGCAGCCCCUUUGAUGCAAGGUUGCCAUUACAUCGAGCAGCGUCGAGGCCACUAGGUCGCCGUUGCAUGGGCAGUGCUGAAGCAGUUCGUCAGGUCGGGCUCAGAUUAGAGCAGCGCCGCAUCCAUUGGGCCGUCCUCGCGUCGGGGUAGCGCUGAGGCCACCGGAUCGCCAACAGGUGCAGCAGUGGCGUGGUCACCGGGUCGCCGCCAGAUAGGACAACACCGAGGCUGCAAGGUUGUCUUUCCCGUCAAGUGGCCCCGACGGCGCCGGCUCGCCGUUGCAUCAGGGCAGUGUGGUCGCCAGUCGCGUGGGGAGUGGGGACGGGCCAGGUCUCCAUCGCGUGGGGGCAGUGCCGCUGGCAGCCUGACGCGGUCGCGUGGUGGAGCACCGCGAACGCCGCCGCAGCCCGGACGGCGUCGCAUGGUGGAGAAGAUGGCCGGGUGUUAUUGUUAUGGUUAUGUCUAUGGACACGUUUGCUACGGCUCUGUUACAUAUGUUUUACCACCUUCACUGCUACAGGUGUUCUCUUCAAGAGAUGCUUGCACACCUUGUUUGGGUGGCGAGGUUGGAGUCUCAUGGCGAGUCUGAGGAUUUUAUUCCUAUCCGAGUAGUCGUAGGUAUUUAUAGUUGUAUCAGAAAACACCUACCAAGUACUUCUAGGCGUUGCAAGUUUUUUGUAGCAAUGCGACAAUGAUCUUAUUCAUAAACAGUGGUGUUGAUGAUCAAGUCUUGGGUGACUUACAUUAACUAAUUUAUAGAACCAAGUACUUUAUUUUGCCCGGUACAUCAUAUAUGCGCUUUGUACUCUUUUUUCCCCAUUAUGCUAUGUAAGAUUAGCUUACAUCAGUCGGUGUUUGGAUGAAUGAGUUGUAUCAGUGAUGUAAAGUCGCUUAAUGUAUAAUUAACAUGACUUCUUGUGCACAUAUAAGCUUUGUUGUGGAUACCA
Molecule: RNA transcript, 4081 nt
Organism: Triticum aestivum (bread wheat)
Lineage: Eukaryota; Viridiplantae; Streptophyta; Magnoliopsida; Poales; Poaceae
Exons: 6
Source: RefSeq, a predicted model, not a curated record